ACGAACUGAGUCCGCUGCUUCCAUAAUUCCUUUCUUUGCCUCAGGCUGCCCGGCUGACUGCCUAGCUCCCGAUCUUCACCAUUCGCUAAUCAGAAUCCUCCGCGGCCAAAAUCACGACAAUUGCUAGCUCAAUCGGACGGAAAAUAAGGUUUCUUCAAUCUUAUGGAGUGCCUUGCUGUGUAAACCCUUUUGAGAGAUUAAUGAACAUACCAGCAGCUUUAUUCUUUUUCCCCAUUCGGUGUAGUCUAUGUUGGAUGUAUUCGAUUGAUGGUUUAAACUUUGGUCUGGUUAUGAUAUAUCUGCUUCCUGUCGCUGAUUCAGAUGGCUUUCUGUGAGGAAGAGUGUACCUCUCUUGGGUUUAUGGAGCUUGCUAUAGAACAAGCCAAAAUUGCUAUGGACAGCCUUGAAGUUCCUGUUGGGUAUGCCAAGUGGUGAUAUAUAGUAGCAGUCAUUUUACUUUUCCACAAUUUUGUCUUUGUUUAUGCAAUAUAUGAAUGGGGCAUAAUUGUACUAGUUUCUGCAUCAAUCUUCAUAUGCUUUUUUAGUUUCUACAGUAGGCUUUUGUGAAAUACUUAAAUUUGUUGCCUUCUAUUGCUGGUCACUGAAAUUUGAAAACUUUCUAUUGUUCUAAUAUUCGCUGCCUUCACAGCCUCA
Non-coding RNA from Carica papaya (papaya), 654 nucleotides. Lineage: Eukaryota; Viridiplantae; Streptophyta; Magnoliopsida; Brassicales; Caricaceae. The record is from RefSeq and is a predicted model, not a curated record.